GAGAAUUAUUGCAAAAUGUUCUUUGAUUCUGGCGAUUAUCGACCCUUGCCUCGACCUUUAGGAUAAGAAAUUUUUCACAUUUUAUUUGGCAUUUAUUCAAAUAAGAGAUUCAUUCGAAAAAUUAAUGGGUUUAAAGAAAAAUUUCUCUGUGAAAAUUUUAAUUAAUUCAAUUUAAUGUAAAGAUUUCGAAUCUUCGAUAUUUCUGGAGAGUCGAGUCCACAAGUAGAAAGUUUAGGAGCAGGAAACCCGAAAUAUAUACGAACUUUCGGUAUAAACCGGAAUUCACGUUAUUUCAAUUCAAAUGUUUUCCCCUAAAAGGAAUUAGAUAUCACUACUCUAUUGCUAGCAGGAAAGUAUGAUUUACAGGGGCAAGCCACUACUAAUUUGAGUUGGACAGCAUAUAUUUUAAAUUAAAUAAAUUAAAAAUAUGAUUAACAUUUGAAGCCCGGCAUUCUGACCAUGUUACAAUAUAUAAUUGCUCGUUAACUUAUAGUUUAGGGCCUCUUCACACUUAAGGUCGUUAAUAUUUAAUAUAUCUUGUUCUAUAAUCAUAUAUCAAGCGCGUAUUUAGGCUUAUUGAGGCCUUAAGAUGUGAUGUGUAAAGAUCUUUUUCUUCUCUCAAAAAUAAAUUUAAAAGCACGAGGCUCUAAGGAAUGGUUUGUUUAGCUUACAGUUAGAUAGGAAAUUUUGUCAGGGAUUAUAUAAUAAUUCAUUGGGCGAGAUUGAAUGGAUAUGCGGGGUUGGUGAAUCCAAACGAUUUGGAUCAUUUUAGAUUUCGUGACAAGAAGAAAGGCUUCUUGAAGCAGGAGGAACCCGUACAAAGUAGAUUUGGAAAGUCCAUCUUCAAAAAUCAUAUUAAUCCUGCUUAUAAACAGGCUUUGAAGAGAAUUCGGCCAUUUUACCAGACCUCGUGCCAUCGUUUUAACAGUGAGCGAUUGGUUGAAGACGAGGAGGAUCGUGGACUCAAUAAUAAUGUUAUGGUUCCUCCAACAAAAAUCAGAAUAAAUAAAGGGCUCGCGAAGCACAAGGAUUGCGUGAAAAAUCCUCGUGAAUAUUCCAACAGUCGUGAAUAUGGAGAUACAAAGGCAUUCAAAACAGUCGGAUCUUUCUUCAAGGCUGUAUGGAAACCAGUCAAAAGAUUUUAGAUUCUUCGAGUUUUGACUUUCAAUUGUGUCUUCUCGAAUCUAGACUCUCCCCAAUUGUGUCCAUUCCUUACAAUCUCUAUCCUCGAUUAUUCACCGAUUUUGUCCAUUGUUGAUCAACGUUUACACUCAAUUCGUGUCCAAUUCGGCUGCGAAUUGCAUGUUUGGAAUUUCUCAAUAAUCAGCAACGUCAAAUACAACCUUAUCAAAGUCCAUUGAAUGUUUGAACACGAAAAGACAAAGAAGAGUUAAAACAGAAAAGAUAAUAAGAAUUAUUCUGAAAUUAUUUGUGAAGAACAAUUUGGUGAAUAUCAUAAAUGUAAUUACAAAGAAUCAUCAGAACAAAUGAAUUAUCUCUGUAAACAUUUUUGGUUUUUAAAUUUGAUUUUGCAUCAAAUCACUUCAAAAACACAAGAAAUUGUCAUGAAUUUUGUAUUUUAAAAUUAAAAGUAACGUUAAAUACGAUUAAACCUGUAUAUAAUUACUCAUUUUUUUAAUAAUCCGCGCGAUAGAGGCGUUAGAUUGUGCUAGGCCAUUAUUAAACACAAUAUACAGGGGUGGCCUGUCAU
Centruroides sculpturatus (bark scorpion) is the source of this 1711-nucleotide long non-coding RNA. RefSeq lists it as uncharacterized. The record is from RefSeq and is a predicted model, not a curated record. The transcript has 4 exons. NCBI's taxonomy places the organism in Eukaryota, Metazoa, Arthropoda, Arachnida, Scorpiones, Buthidae.